RNAcentral lists this ribosomal RNA (901 nucleotides) under uncultured Flavobacterium sp. RNAcentral's name for it is "bacterial SSU rRNA". It matches the Rfam family "Bacterial small subunit ribosomal RNA", at positions 9 to 916 of the family's 1533-position model. The record is from RNAcentral. Lineage: Bacteria; Pseudomonadati; Bacteroidota; Flavobacteriia; Flavobacteriales; Flavobacteriaceae.
GAGUUUGAUCCUGGCUCAGGAUGAACGCUAGCGGCAGGCUUAACACAUGCAAGUCGAGGGGUAUGGUUCUUCGGAACCAGAGACCGGCGCACGGGUGCGUAACGCGUAUGCAAUCUACCUUUCACAGAGGGAUAGCCCAGAGAAAUUUGGAUUAAUACCUCAUAGUAUGUUGGUCUCGCAUGAGAUUAUUAUUAAAGAUUUAUCGGUGAAAGAUGAGCAUGCGUCCCAUUAGUUAGUUGGUAAGGUAACGGCUUACCAAGACUACGAUGGGUAGGGGUCCUGAGAGGGAGAUCCCCCACACUGGUACUGAGACACGGACCAGACUCCUACGGGAGGCAGCAGUGAGGAAUAUUGGACAAUGGGCGCAAGCCUGAUCCAGCCAUGCCGCGUGCAGGAUGACGGUCCUAUGGAUUGUAAACUGCUUUUAUACGAGAAGAAACACUGGUUCGUGAACCAGCUUGACGGUAUCGUAAGAAUAAGGAUCGGCUAACUCCGUGCCAGCAGCCGCGGUAAUACGGAGGAUCCAAGCGUUAUCCGGAAUCAUUGGGUUUAAAGGGUCCGUAGGCGGUCAGAUAAGUCAGUGGUGAAAGCNCAUCGCUCAACGGUGGAACGGCCAUUGAUACUGUCUGACUUGAAUUAUUAGGAAGUAACUAGAAUAUGUAGUGUAGCGGUGAAAUGCUUAGAGAUUACAUGGAAUACCAAUUGCGAAGGCAGGUUACUACUAAUAUAUUGACGCUGAUGGACGAAAGCGUGGGUAGCGAACAGGAUUAGAUACCCUGGUAGUCCACGCCGUAAACGAUGGAUACUAGCUGGUGGGAGCAAUCUCAGUGGCUAAGCGAAAGUGAUAAGUAUCCCACCUGGGGAGUACGAACGCAAGUUUGAAACUCAAAGGAAUUGACGG